Molecule: ribosomal RNA, 484 nt
Filed under: uncultured bacterium
Lineage: Bacteria
Description: partial 16S ribosomal RNA
Rfam family: Bacterial small subunit ribosomal RNA
Source: RNAcentral
AUUGAACGCUGGCGGCAGGCCUAACACAUGCAAGUCGAGCGGAUGAAGGGAGCUUGCUCCUGGCUUCAGCGGCGGACGGGUGAGUAAUGCCUAGGAAUCUGCCUGGUAGUGGGGGAUAACGUCCGGAAACGGGCGCUAAUACCGCAUACGUCCUGAGGGAGAAAGUGGGGGAUCUUCGGACCUUACGCUAUCAGAUGAGCCUAGGUCGGAUUAGCUAGUUGGUGGGGUAAAGGCCUACCAAGGCGACGAUCCGUAACUGGUCUGAGAGGAUGAUCAGUCACACUGGAACUGAGACACGGUCCAGACUCCUACGGGAGGCAGCAGUGGGGAAUAUUGGACAAUGGGCGAAAGCCUGAUCCAGCCAUGCCGCGUGUGUGAAGAAGGUCUUCGGAUUGUAAAGCACUUUAAGUUGGGAGGAAGGGCAGUAAGUUAAUACCUUGCUGUUUUGACGUUACCAACAGAAUAAGCACCGGCUAACUUCGUG